Amaranthus tricolor (Joseph's coat) is the source of this 4980-nucleotide RNA transcript. It is a transcript of the gene named protein NLP2-like, with no coding region annotated. The record is from RefSeq and is a predicted model, not a curated record. The transcript is spliced from 7 exons. NCBI's taxonomy places the organism in Eukaryota, Viridiplantae, Streptophyta, Magnoliopsida, Caryophyllales, Amaranthaceae.
AUAAAAAUUUGAGAACUGUUAUAUGAUUUCAAAUGGGUUUGUUUUAGUUUCUUAUUUUUAUGCAUGAUUAUUAAUAAAGAGAAAAAAUUUUGAUCUAUUUAGUUAAUAGUGCCUUUCUUCUUUCUCUCUUCUUUUUGCUUUGUUCUUCUUCCAAUGUUUAAUUUUUAGUCUUGUAAUUGAUAUAUGAUUUCAAAUGGGUUUUUUGUUUCCUUAAGUGGGUUUGUUUUAGUUUCUCAUUUUUAUGCAUGAUUAUUUAUAAAGAAAUUUUUGAGCCAUUUAGUUAAUAGUGCCUUUCCUCUUUCUCUCUUCUUUUUUGUUUUGUUCCUCUUCCAAUGUCUAAUUUUCACUCUUGUAUAUGAAUUUUUAAAGAAUUGAUAUAUGAUUUCAUAUGGGUUUUUUUUUUGUUUCCUUAAAUGGAUUUGAUUUAGUUUCUCAUUUUUAUGCAUGAUUAUUAAUAGAGAAAAAAUUUGAGCUAUUUAGUUAAUAGGGCCUUUCCUUCUUUCUCUCUUCUUUUUGCUUUGUUCUUCCAAUUUCUAAUUUUCACUCUUGUAUAUAAAGUUUUGAGGAGUUUUGAUAUGAUUUCAAAUGGGUUUUUUUGUUUUCUGAAAUGGGUUUGUUUGGUUUCUAAUUAUUAUGAAUAUUAGUAAUAAAUUAAAAAAAAUAGAGAUAUGUGCGAUUUGGCAUCUUAUACAUAUUCAGAAUCGAACCUAUUUAUAGUUAUUAUAGUUUCAUGAAUUAGAAGGAUGUUUUAUGUUGAUGUUGAUUAUUCAUUGCAUUAGAAUUUAUGAAAUGUAAAGUCAAACAAAUUCUCAUUCAUCCCCCACAAAAAAUACUUAGCUUUUUAUACAGAUUUUUGUGUAUUUUUACUCUUUUUACUUUGUUUCUACUUUUAUACAUAAAAUCAUUAUAUAAGAUUCCUCCCAAAAAAGUUGAGAGAGGUCUUUUGAAUUGAAGAUGAUUCUACACCUUAAGCAACUUGAGUUCUUCAAAACAGAAGAUAAAGAUUCUUCCUGGGAGUUUUUCAACUUGUUCUAUAUAUUUAGGCUACUUAGGUGUUUUGGUUCAUAAUAAAACAUCAAAUUUAGAGGUCCUUUCUAUUUUUGGAAGCUGUAAAACUAUUACUUUUCUAUUUUAGUAUCAUAAAAACCACCCUUUAAACCAGCAGAAAUCCCUGAAUAUGGAUGAUGGUUCCUUCACUCCUUCAAACAAUCCUCCUGUUUUUGGAAACAUUUAUAAUGAUUUAAUGGAUCAACUCUUAGAUGAAGGAUGCUGGUUACAAACAACUGAUGGAUCAAACCUUUUGCAGUCGGGUCAGGGUUUGGGUCAAGGUCCGGGUCAGGGUCAGGGUUCUGUACCAUCAACCUCUAGAGGUUUAAGUUUAAGCUAUCCAUAUUACCCUUUAUUCCCUAGUUUAGAACCAAAUUCUAGCAGUUUGACUGCAGCCCCUCAUCUUAGUAGCUAUCAAAAAUGGAUCCCUAAGGCAGAACAACAGACACCAGAUUCAGAAAAACAGGAUCCAGAAAACCCACAAACUACAACAACCCAAGUACAAAAUCUAUGUUGGGAUGGUAAUGAACUCAAUAGAAUCUUGUGGAUUGCACCUAAGGCUAAUUCAGAUUCUUCAUUUCCUGUGAAAGAUAGAUUGGUAAAAGCAAUAUAUAACUUAAAAGAAAUGAAUAAACAUAGAGAUGUGCUUAUUCAGUUAUGGGUACCUAUAAGAAAAGGGGUACAUAGUUUCCUUACAACUGUUGAGCAACCUUACUUCUAUAAAGAUUCAAGUCAAAGAUUACAGAAUUAUAGAGAUGUAUCAGAGAAGUAUGAGUUCUUAGCAGAUGAAGAUACUAAACAGGCACUCGGAUUGCCUGGGCGAGUCUUCCUUGGCAAAGCACCUGAAUGGACACCUGAUGUAAGGUUAUUCAGGCAUGAUGAGUAUCCUCGAAUCGAUUAUGCUCGUAAGUAUGAUGUUCGUGGCUCCAUUGCUCUUCCGGUUUUUGAAAAAGGCAGUGGUGAUUCCUUGGGUGUUGUUGAAAUUAUCAUGACUACUGAUGAUUUUGAUUAUCGUCCUGAAGUUGAAAGUGUUUGUAAAGCUCUCGAGACUUUUCACCUUAGGAGUUCAGGAACCCUUAACAUGGCUCAAGAACAGGUAGGAAAAGGAUCUAAUGAAGCUGUACAUCCUGAAAUCCUAAACGUAGUAAGAACUGUAUGUGAAACGUUCAAUUUACCUUUGGCUCAAACAUGGGCUCCAUGUACACAACAAAGAAAAGCCGGGUGUUGGCAUUCUGAAAACAAUUCCAAUUGUAUUUCAGUCAUUGAAUCUGCUUGUUACGUACGUGAUCAAGGAGUUCAGGAUUUUCACAAAGCCUGCUCUCAUCAUCACCUAUUGAGAAAGCAAGGAGGUAUAGUUGGAAAAGCAUUCGAGACUAAUCAACCGUGCUAUGCUACUGAUGUAACAGAGUUCAGUAAGGUUGAGUAUCCUCUUUCUCAUCACGCGAAGAAAUUUGGGUUGCGUGGUGCAGUAGCAUUAAGGCUUCGUGGUCUUUAUAGUGAGGUGUAUGAUUAUGUUUUAGAAUUGUAUUUGCCGUCAAAUAUCCAAGAAAAAGGGCUAGCUUUCCAUGCUAGGAUAUGCCAGGCAGUAACGACAAUAAUGCAACAGAACUGUCAGUAUUUGCAGCUUGUCACAGACUACGGUUUUGAAGAGAAGGUGAAAGAAGCAUUCUGGCUUUCGCAGAUGACGGAACCCCAAAGAAAGGGUAAAGGGGUAGUCGUUUCAUUGGAAUUUGGUGAGGAGGAGCCUAGCAAAGGAUUCAAAGUGAUGAACUGGAGUGAAAACGAGCCAAGUUUACAGCUCGGGCAGGCUCUUUCUGAUGAAAAUACCAACCAAGAUAAUUCAGGGUCAAAAGGUAUAAGUGGUUCUGGUUCAUCAUCUGGCGGCCGAUUUCCCCUUGGUUGUAGAAAAGCUGGCGAAAAGAGAAGGACAAAAACUCAAAAAUCUAUCAGUUUGGAUGUGCUCAGGCAAUAUUUUGCCGGUAGCCUAAAAGACGCUGCCAAAAAUAUUGGAGUUUGCCCUACAACCCUGAAAAGGAUAUGUAGGCAGCAUGGGAUUGCUAGAUGGCCUUCUAGAAAGAUCAAGAAGGUGGAUCAUUCCUUGAGGAAACUUCAACUAGUGAUUGACUCGGUGCAAGGUGCUGAAGGUUCCAUCCAACUAUCUUCUUUCUAUACAAAUUUCCCUGAACUUAAUAGUCCAAAUGCACAACUAAAACCCAAUCAAACUUCCUCUAUAAACUUAAACAAACAACCAAAGCAACAACUAACUACUCAACCCGAGGGAAGUGUUUUCCCUUCAGGAGCUACAACUUCCAACUCCCCCGCCUCGACUUCAUCUAGCCAAACCUCGACUUCUAGCUAUUGCUUCUCAAGUGGAGCAAAACUUACAUCAUCUGCCGUGACAACCAUUGCCUCGGAGAGUAAGGAAGCAUUAGCCGUAGAGGAUGAUCCUGGCGGGUCCUUAAAGAGGGCCCGAAGUGAGGCAGAAUUACAAGCCCUGAAUAAGAAAGAAACCAAUCAAAAUCUAGAAAGAUCACAGAGCAAUAAAACUCUAGCUGAACAUCCUUCUUUUGAAUCUUUACCCCCUUUACCAGUAACUAAAAGUUUGCUUUCAAGAGAGGCAGGUGUGUUUCGAGCUAAAGCUAGUUACGGGGAGGAAAAAGUCCGAUUCUCUAUCUUACCGAACACGGGAUUCCUAGACUUGCAACAAGAGAUAGUGAAAAGAUUUAGUUUGGAAGAUUUAAGUAAGAUGGGUAUAAAGUAUUUAGAUGACGACAAAGAAUGGGUACUAUUAACAUGUGAUGCUGAUUUAGAGGAAUGUAUAGAUAUACAUAAAUCGUCUGGAAGCCACACAAUCAAGCUAUCUAUUUCGCCUCUUUCAAGCUUAGCCGGUUCUUUUGGUAGCAGCGGAUUAUCCUAACUUCAGAAUUUGCCUUCCUUGUUUUGAUGCUAUGGAACUUUGAUGUUUAACAAUAUCAGCAGGUUCAGUACAUGAUUAGCUCAGACAUGCUGGGUCUCUUAGGAGGACUUACCCAGCAUAGCAGGCUGUUUAAUGGAGUCGUUCGCUCAGUUCGAUUGUUACAAUGAAGGAGGCAAAAAGAUCUUGGUUAUGAUACAUCGCAUCAUAUUCAAAACUUCUGAUGGAUUUUCAUAGGAUAAUGAGGUAAUCAUUUGGUUUUCCAAUCUUGCCUAUGGCAUGUUCAGGGUCUUUCGUAUUCAUUUGCAGAGGAUUCCACUAGCCGCAACCUCCUCAUCUCUUUUAAUAUGGGACAGGUACAUCCAGCUUGAACUUUGCAGUAUUGAACAAAUCAUAUUUCAAGUUUUUCGUAAGAGAUUAUCGAUAACAAUUCCAUGGAUCGAUAUCAGAACAACGCAAAGAAAACAACAAGGUUGAUCAAAAAUGGUUGAAUGGUACUAAAGGCUGAAAGCAUUGUGAUUUGUGGCUGAUACUGAUUAAUUCCUACUGUAUAUUUCAACUUGGAGUAGGCUAAAAGUGUUGUAUUAUACAGACUACAUGCUUGCAUAUUGACUAGAAGCAUUGAUAGUUUGAAGUUUGGUAAUUGUGGUGUCUAGAAGACCCUAAAAUCUGAAAUUUUUGUUGUACUAUGGUUUUUAAGUACAAUGGUUUUUUGAGUAUUUGUUCAUUUGAUGCCUUUAUAUUCCAACUACUGUCUUUUGGUUCAACCUCUCUGAGUUUUGUUAUCUAUUUGUAUAAUAGCAAAGUGACUCUUGAUAUGUAUUAAGAUUAGAGGGAAUUUAGGUUCGAGUUUGCCUAGGUCAUAACUUCAUCAUUUGAUUUAAAACUUCAUUAAUGUACUCCGAAUAGUGUUACAUGUAGUACAAAACUUCCUAUAACACAUGUAGAGGUUAUGAGUAUUUGGCUUACUCUAUACUAGUAUUUUGAAUUUGUCCUGAUGUUUCAUAUCCGAUAGAUGG